AAGGCUGAGACAGGAGAAUCACUUGAACCUGGGGCGGAGGUUGCAGUGAGCCAAGAUCGCGCCACUGCACUCCAACCUGGGUGACAGAGCAAGACUCUGUCUCAGGAAAAAAAAAAAAAGUACUGCUUCAUUGUCAAGGAACUAUAAAAUACAGAAAAGUAUAAAGAAGAAAAAACAAUUACCCCAUAAUCUUACAAUACAGAAAUGGCCAAAAUUCAUAUCCUGAAACUCCUCAAUUUUUAAGCACCCAAAAAACAGCCAGAAGGCAGCAUUAUGUCACCCUUUGUGAGAAGCAUGUAGAAACCACACACAGGACAGGAGAGGAAGGAACGUUUUGCUUCUCCUGUGUUUCAGGAUUGUAUGAAAAUCAGGUUGCCUGUAGUUUCAGGACACUCUCUACAGGUGUACUUUUGACUUUGCAAAGCCCUGAACACGCCUUGGCCAGCGAUAGGAGGAGAUGCUGAAUGCCUCACAUUCACCGUCAGCAGCCCUCAGGUUUCAGCCUUCCUUGCUAACUGCCAGAAUCUUCAACUAUUGUCACUGUGAACUUUCUUUUUAUCUUGGAAACCUCAAACAUCAUAGUGUGUGACUUCUGGUGUAUUCAUACCAAAUAGAUCCAAGCAAAGCAAACACAAAUUCAUGUGGGUACCUUUGUGGGUGAGGGCAAGAACAGAGAGAGCUUAGGGGCGGUGAAGCAUGUUCAGAAAGGACGCGGUGGUCUGGAAUAUGUUGCCUUCUCUCCCUUCCUCCUUCCUUCCCUCCCUCCCUCGCUUCUUUCAUGUAUUUAGCACAUAUUUACUUAUUGAGAAUCUACUCUGUGCUAGGUCCUGUUCUGAGCACAACAGAUAAAAACUCUGAGCUUGCAGAGCUUAUGUUUUAGUGGCAGCAGCAGAGAAUGCUCGGUCAAUCACUGAACACGGCAUCUAGCGUCUGGAACAACGGUGAUCUUGCGAUGGAGCGGACCAUGAGUGGAUUGCAAGUUGGAUUACAUCCAGUCCCAGGCUAUUCUCUUGGGGUCUGCAGUAGGAGAUUCUGUCAAAGCCCCUCCAUUUCCUCUGUUCUGGCAUUAGAACAUCUGGUAGAUCCCCAGGAUUCUAGGGUUGCACAAAGCCCAGGAAAGGUGUGGAGGGGUGGCUGGGCUGGCCUUGAAUCUGCUGUCAGGCCUCUGAGCCCAAGCCUGCACAUAUACAUCCAGAUGGCCUGAAGUAACUGAAGAAUCACGGAAUAAGUGAAAAUGGCCGGUUCCUGCCUUAACCGAUGACAUUACCUUGUGAAAUUCCUUCUCCUGGCUCGGAAGCUCCCCCACUGAGCACCUUGUAACCCCCGCCCCUGCCUGCCAGAGAACAACCCCUUUGACUGUAAUUUUUCACUACCUACCCAAGUCCUAUAAAACGGCCCCACCCCUAUUUCCCUUCGCUGACUCAUUUUUUGGAUUCGGCCUGCCUGCACCCAGGUGAAAUAAACAGC
RNAcentral lists this long non-coding RNA (1467 nucleotides) under Macaca nemestrina (pig-tailed macaque). RNAcentral's name for it is "lncRNA (ENSMNEG00000046071.1)". The record is from RNAcentral. Lineage: Eukaryota; Metazoa; Chordata; Mammalia; Primates; Cercopithecidae.